AAAAAUAUCAAAUGCCUGGUCGGUGGCUCGGUCCCUCUCUUUUCAGUUGAAAGAAAAAGAUAUAGAAAAGCAAGGUACAGAAAGAGAAAGUGCGGGAAAGUGCGAGAAAAAGCGAAAGGAAAUUUUAGUUGACGGAUUUCCACUACACAACUGUACCCGAUUGCGGAAUUUAGGUUUCUAUGCUACUAGGUUGGUGAUUGGACUCCGGAGAUGGCGAGCCCGGUCACUCCUAGUACGGGUAGACCUUUAUCGAUAACGCCUGGUGCCAGGGUUUUGAAGACCCCACUCAGCGACGAGACUAUCUGGAAACGGCUCAAGGAGGUAGGGUUUGAUGAGGACUCCAUUAGAAUAAGAGACAAAGCUGCUCUCACAGCUUAUAUCGCGAAACUUGAAUCUGAGAUCUUUGACCUUCAACACCACAUGGGUCUUCUCAUAUUGGAAAGAAACGAUUUUACUUCAAAAUAUGAGCAGAUCAAAGCCUCUUCUGAAGCAGCUGAACUAAAACAAAAGCGUGAUCAAGCUGCACACUUGUCUGCUUUAGCUGGAGCAAUAAAACGAGAAGAAAGUUUAAAGAAGGCUUUGGGAGUUGAGAAAGAGUGUAUGACAAGUAUUGAGAAGGCCUUGCAUGAGAUGCGUGCUGAAUCUGCUGAAACCAAGUUUGCUGCUGAAUGUAAAUUGGCUGAUGCACGUAGUAUGGUUGAAGAUGCGCAGAAAAAAUACAUGGAUUCUGAGGCAAAACUGCUUGCUGCAGAAGCCUUACAAGCAGAAGCUAGCAAGUAUCGUUGAGCUGCAGAAAGAAAGCUCCAGGAAGUUGAAGCACGUGAAGAUGAUCUUGGCAGGCGUACCAGUGCUUUCAAGGCUGAUUGUGAUGCAAAAGAGAAGGAGAUUGUUAUUGAGAGACAACUUUGAGUGAGAGACGGAAAGUUCUGCAGCAGGAACAUGAAAGGUUACUUGAUGGACAAGCUUUGUUGAAUCAGAGGGAGGAUUAUGUUGCUAGCAAAUGUCAAGAGCUAAAUCGUCUGGAAAAGGAGUUGGAGAACUCAAAAACAAGGAUUGAGAAGGAACUUAGAGACUUGCAUGACAAGAUAUCCAACUUGGAGCUGACUGUGGCUUCCUUGACUCAAAGAGAAGCAGUUAUAUUUUCAAUUUUUUAAAUAUCAGUGUGAAUUGCUGUCCUAUUAAAUUGUUCCUGAGUUUCUUGAAAAAAAAUAUUUAUUUCGGUUUUCUUUGGGUGAAUGUAGGCUGUUAUCGAGAGGGAAGCUCUACUAAACAAGAGAGAGCAAGAGUUACUUGAUUUUCAAGAAAAACUGACAGGCAAGGAAUCUGUUGAAAUUCAGAAAGUUAUUGCCAAUCAUGAGAUUGUUCUGAAAACAAGAAAGUCAGAAUUAGAAGCUGAGCUGGAGAUGAACUGCAAAUUGGUGGAAGAUGAAAUUGAGGCCAAGAGACGAGCUUGGGAAUUGAGGGAGUUGGAUCUUAAACGACGGGAGGAUAUGUUGAGUGAAGGGAACAUGACUUAGAGGUUCAGUCAAGGACGUUGGCUGAUGAGGAGAAAGAUGUGGCACAGAAGAUGAAUAUUCUUGAUGAGAGAGAAAGAAGUCUUAUUGCUGCUGAGAAGGACAGUGAAUUAAGGAGAGCACUUCUACAGCAAGAAAAAGAGGAGAUUAACAAAAUAAAGUUAGAACUCCAGGAGUCUUUGAAUUCCUUGGAAGACAAAAAGAAACAAAUAGAUUGUGCAAAGGAGAAACUUGAGACUAUGGCAUGUGAAACAAAUGAGCUCUCGGUUUUGGAGAUGAAACUUAAAGAAGAGGUUGAUAUGGUCAGGGCUCAGAAAUUGGAACUUAUGGCUGAAGAAGACAGAUUGAAGGUUGAAAAGGCUAAGUUUGAAACUGAAUGGGAGUUGAUUGAUGAAAAAAGGGAAGAACUGCGGAUGGAAGCUGAGCAUAUAGUUGAGGUGAGGCAAGCUGUUUGUAGGUUACUCAAGGAUGAGUGGGAUAGCCUAAUACUAGAGAAGGAAACAAUUCGAGAACAACAUAAGCGAGAUGUUGAGUCACUUAACCAUGAACGGGAGGAAUUCAUGAACAAGAUGGAGUAUGAGCAUUUGGUGUGGUUCAACAAAAUUCAGAAGGAACAUACAGAUUUCUUGUUGGGUAUUGAAAUGCAGAAGAGAGAGCUGGAGAACAGUAUAGAGAAAAGGCGAGAAGAGAUAGAAAGUUAUUUAAGGGAUCAAGAGAAAGCCUUUGAGAUAGAAAAGAAAAUUGAACUCCAACAUAUUGUUUCUCUUAAAGAGAAAGCAGCAAAAGAGUUGGAGCAGGUUCGUUUCGAACUGAAGAAGCUUGAUUCUGAGAGAACAGUGAUAAAUUUAGACCGUGAGAGAAGGGACAGGGAAUGGGCUGUGCUGAAUAAAUCCAUUGAGGAACUUAAGGAUCAAAUCAGAAAUUGGAAAAACAGAGGGGAUUAUUACAUACAGAAAGAGAGGGGGUUUGUGCUCAGAUUGAACACCUGAAAAGAUUGGAAGAUUUGAAGCUUAUGUUGGAUAACAUGGAAGUGGCUAAGAUACAACUGUCAAACAUGGAGUCUAGCCUGCAGAAAAUCUCUGCAAUAAGAUAUUUGAGAAGUCACUCCUCUGUAAAAGAUACUGAUCUGGUUUCACGUGAACGGGAAGAUACUACUAACAAUGGAAAAAGACUUGAUUCUCCAUCUAUGCAAAAAUCAGUUGUUGAUUCUGCUCGUUUCUCUUGGAUCAAGCGUUGCACUGAACUGAUAUUCAAAAGUUCUCCUGAGAAGCCCUUGUUGAAGAGUGAAGAAAAGUCUCUGAUAUCCAACAAUGAUGAUGCAAUUUUGGCUUCUGCUGGCAAAUUGGAUUCUUCCAAUGGAUAUCAUGGACAAAAGCUGAAAUCAAUCGAGAGUUCUGGCAACAGACAGCCAAUGAGAUAUGCUAUUGGUGAACCAGAGGUGACACCUGAACCCCCUGAAGAUGAAACUGCCAAGGGAAAACGUGAUAAAGAAUCUGAAACAAAGAAAGAUGCUAAUGAAGAGAUUGCUCCCUCAUUUUCUGAACAAGCACGUCCUGCUGGAAGGAAAAGGAGAGUUAAAAACUCUCCUUUGGAUGUUUCUACUGAUCCCCAGCCAGAGCAAAGACAGAACAAUAAAAGGAGGAGGCAACAAAAAGGCGCUGCUGUGAAUUUAUCCAUAUCUAAAGAUGCCAACAACCCCAGUGUGACUUCAACCAAGAUCUAUGCACCAGAAGAUCAGCAUUUAACUGAAGGUGCUGAAGAUGCUGAUGUAGUAAUUGCGGAAAGAAUCAUCAAAAUUUCAGAAGCUUCUGAAGUGACAUGUGAUUAUUGUGAUGUUCAAGAUGGAGGAACAAAUGGUAAUUCCAAUGAGAAAUGUGUGGAGCGUAGUGUGGUGCCGUGUAGCUCUGAGGUAUCAGUAAUGUUAAAAGAUCAAAUGGGGCAUGUUGGGCAAGGUACUGACCAACAUCAGGUAACUAUUAAAUGUGCUCUUUAUCAUUGGAUGUGAAUAUACAGAAGUAAGGGGUGCUGCUUUUUCACAUUUUAUGAUCUCUGUGGGUUAUGAUUUUGGAUUAAAGUCCUGAUGGUAAGCUGUUUUUAACAUGCAUUUGUAGAAAAGAGCUUUAUGUUUCUGUCCAUGCCAAUUGAAUUUCCUGUGUUGCUGUUUUUUCACAUAUCCUUUAGUUUCAUUCCUUUUGAAGUCUCAGAUAUGUUUGCACUUCUAUUUUGCUAGUCCCAUGAGGAUGCAUCCAAAACCAGUGAUCUGAGGGUUGAAGAUUCCGCUGUUGCCAGAUCUGACAACAGUGAGAAAGUUGCUACUUGCUGGAGAUAUUGGAAGGAGGACAAGAUCAAAACAGAAGUCAUAGAAUUCUAGCUGUUGCCUUGUUUUGCUGUGUUUAUGAUCAGGCAAGCAUAGAGUAUCUUUAAAAUUUUUUAUUUUGGUCACUUCAGUCAAUGAUGAGAACGCAACGUCAGGCAGCCUACUAAUUUUUUUUUUCUGUCCGCUGGAGGUACUAACAAUUCAUCGGUUGGGUUUACUUCUACCAGUUCACGUGUCUUGUGGUGUCCCCAAAUGUGUGAUUGGAUCAUCUCAAAGCGGGUGUGAAAGUCUGUAAAUGAUAUGUCUAUUUUUAUCGGGUUUCAUGGGGUAGUUUGUUGAUUUUUAGAGUCCUUGAGUAUUAGGUUUGGAAAUUUAUGUACAGACAUAACAGGCAAUUGUGCAUCCUCGUUUGGCCCAUGGGUCGUGCGUGGUUCUUACCUUCUUUAAAGUUAGCGUUUUGCAUAGUAAGAUUCAAAUAUCCCUAUCUUGGUGUCGAGAACUUCUCGAUGAGAAGCGUUGAAACGAGGCGACAUUUUUAUUGCUCUCUAGCAAUCGAAAGCAAGGUGUGUUUCUUGUCAUGUUUGACAUUUUUUUUUUU
RNAcentral lists this unclassified non-coding RNA (4429 nucleotides) under Hevea brasiliensis (rubber tree). The record is from RNAcentral. Lineage: Eukaryota; Viridiplantae; Streptophyta; Magnoliopsida; Malpighiales; Euphorbiaceae.